This 1046-nucleotide ribosomal RNA is filed under the name Salmonella enterica subsp. enterica serovar Agbeni. RNAcentral describes it as "bacterial SSU rRNA". It matches the Rfam family "Bacterial small subunit ribosomal RNA", at positions 1 to 1036 of the family's 1533-position model. Lineage: Bacteria; Pseudomonadati; Pseudomonadota; Gammaproteobacteria; Enterobacterales; Enterobacteriaceae. The record is from RNAcentral.
AAAUUGAAGAGUUUGAUCAUGGCUCAGAUUGAACGCUGGCGGCAGGCCUAACACAUGCAAGUCGAACGGUAACAGGAAGCAGCUUGCUGUUUUGCUGACGAGUGGCGGACGGGUGAGUAAUGUCUGGGAAACUGCCUGAUGGAGGGGGAUAACUACUGGAAACGGUGGCUAAUACCGCAUAACGUCGCAAGACCAAAGAGGGGGACCUUCGGGCCUCUUGCCAUCAGAUGUGCCCAGAUGGGAUUAGCUUGUUGGUGAGGUAACGGCUCACCAAGGCGACGAUCCCUAGCUGGUCUGAGAGGAUGACCAGCCACACUGGAACUGAGACACGGUCCAGACUCCUACGGGAGGCAGCAGUGGGGAAUAUUGCACAAUGGGCGCAAGCCUGAUGCAGCCAUGCCGCGUGUAUGAAGAAGGCCUUCGGGUUGUAAAGUACUUUCAGCGGGGAGGAAGGUGUUGUGGUUAAUAACCGCAGCAAUUGACGUUACCCGCAGAAGAAGCACCGGCUAACUCCGUGCCAGCAGCCGCGGUAAUACGGAGGGUGCAAGCGUUAAUCGGAAUUACUGGGCGUAAAGCGCACGCAGGCGGUCUGUCAAGUCGGAUGUGAAAUCCCCGGGCUCAACCUGGGAACUGCAUUCGAAACUGGCAGGCUUGAGUCUUGUAGAGGGGGGUAGAAUUCCAGGUGUAGCGGUGAAAUGCGUAGAGAUCUGGAGGAAUACCGGUGGCGAAGGCGGCCCCCUGGACAAAGACUGACGCUCAGGUGCGAAAGCGUGGGGAGCAAACAGGAUUAGAUACCCUGGUAGUCCACGCCGUAAACGAUGUCUACUUGGAGGUUGUGCCCUUGAGGCGUGGCUUCCGGAGCUAACGCGUUAAGUAGACCGCCUGGGGAGUACGGCCGCAAGGUUAAAACUCAAAUGAAUUGACGGGGGCCCGCACAAGCGGUGGAGCAUGUGGUUUAAUUCGAUGCAACGCGAAGAACCUUACCUGGUCUUGACAUCCACGGAAGUUUUCAGAGAUGAGAAUGUGCCUUCGGGAACCGUGAGACA